UCGAGAAUCAUUCGCAAUGGGCGCAAGCCUGACGGUGCGACGUCGCGUGGAGGAUGAAGGUCUUCGGAUUGUAAACUCCUGUCAUGUGGGAUAAAUGGCUGGCACACGAAUAGUGUGUCGGAAUGAUAGUACCACAGGAGGAAGAGACGGCUAACUCUGUGCCAGCAGCCGCGGUAAUACAGAGGUCUCGAGCGUUGUUCGGAUUUACUGGGCGUAAAGGGAGCGUAGGCGGUUCGGUAUGUCGAAUGUGAAAGCCCACAACUUAACUGUGGAAUGGCAUUCGAAACUACCGGGCUAGAGUACUGGAGAGGAGAGCGGAAUUCUUGGUGUAGCGGUGAAAUGCGUAGAUAUCAAGAGGAACACCGGUGGCGAAGGCGGCUCUCUGGACAGAUACUGACGCUGAGGCUCUAAAGUUAGGGGAGCAAACAGG
This 430-nucleotide ribosomal RNA is filed under the name uncultured bacterium. RNAcentral's name for it is "bacterial SSU rRNA". It matches the Rfam family "Bacterial small subunit ribosomal RNA", at positions 355 to 776 of the family's 1533-position model. The record is from RNAcentral.